UAUUGCUUAAUGGGCGAAAGCCUGAAGCAGCAACGCCGCGUGAACGAAGAAGGCCUUCGGGUCGUAAAGUUCUUUUACGUGGGAUGAGGAAGGACAGUACCACGAGAAUAAGUCUCGGCUAACUACGUGCCAGCAGCCGCGGCAAAACGUAGGAGCAGAGCGUUAUCCGGAUUUUUAUGGCGUAAAGCGCGUGUAGGAGGCGCUACAAGUUGGAUGUGAAAGCUCCCGGCUUAACUGGGAGACGUCGUUCAAGACUGUAGUGCUAGAGUGAUGCAGAUGUAGAUGGCACUCCUGGAGUAG
This 300-nucleotide ribosomal RNA is filed under the name uncultured bacterium. RNAcentral describes it as "bacterial SSU rRNA". It matches the Rfam family "Bacterial small subunit ribosomal RNA", at positions 362 to 678 of the family's 1533-position model. The record is from RNAcentral.